UACAGAGGGUGCAAGCGUUAAUCGGAAUUACUGGGCGUAAAGCGAGCGUAGUCGGUUAUUUAAGUCGGAUGUGAAAUCCCCGGGCUCAACCUGGGAAUUGCAUUCGAUACUGGAUAGCUAGAGUUCGGCAGAGGGAAGCGGAAUUUCGGGUGUAGCGGUGAAAUGCGUAGAUAUGCGGAGGAACACCGAUGGCGAAGGCAAUCCCCUGGGCCUGCACUGACGCUCAUGCACGAAAGCGUGGGGAGCAAACAGG
This 253-nucleotide ribosomal RNA is filed under the name uncultured bacterium. Its description in RNAcentral is "partial 16S ribosomal RNA". It matches the Rfam family "Bacterial small subunit ribosomal RNA", at positions 524 to 776 of the family's 1533-position model. The record is from RNAcentral.